GAUGAACGCUAGCGGGAGGCUUAACACAUGCAAGUCGAGGGGUAAAUGGCAGCAAUGCUAUGAGACCGGCGAACGGGUGCGUAACGCGUAUGCAACUUACCUUAUGCAGGGGGAUAGCCCGUGGAAACGCGGAUUAAUAUCCCAUAGAUCAGUGGUAUCGCAUGGUACAGCUGGUAAAGCUCAGGUGGCAUAAGAUGGGCAUGCGUCUGAUUAGCUGGUUGGUAGGGUAACGGCCUACCAAGGCGACGAUCAGUAGGGGUUCUGAGAGGACUUAACCCCCACACUGGUACUGAGACACGGACCAGACUCCUACGGGAGCAGCAGUGAGGAAUAUUGGUCAAUGGGCGGAAGCCUGAACCAGCCAUCCCGCGUGAAGGAAGAAGGCCUUAUGGGUUGUAAACUUCUUUUCUGUUUGAAGAAUAAGCUUGCGAGACAAGUGAUGCCGGUAGGACAGGAAUAAGCAUCGGCUAACUCCGUGCCAGCAGCCG
RNAcentral lists this ribosomal RNA (488 nucleotides) under uncultured bacterium. RNAcentral describes it as "bacterial SSU rRNA". It matches the Rfam family "Bacterial small subunit ribosomal RNA", at positions 28 to 517 of the family's 1533-position model. The record is from RNAcentral.